This 867-nucleotide ribosomal RNA is filed under the name Tropicoporus excentrodendri. RNAcentral's name for it is "LSU rRNA". It matches the Rfam family "Eukaryotic large subunit ribosomal RNA", at positions 66 to 915 of the family's 3401-position model. The record is from RNAcentral. Lineage: Eukaryota; Fungi; Basidiomycota; Agaricomycetes; Hymenochaetales; Hymenochaetaceae.
UAACAAGGAUUCCCCUAGUAACUGCGAGUGAAGCGGGAAGAGCUCAAAUUUAAAAUCUGGCGGCUCUGCCGCCCGAGUUGUAGUCUGGAGAAGUGUUAUCCGCGUCGGACCGUGUACAAGUCUCCUGGAAUGGAGCGUCAUAGAGGGUGAGAAUCCCGUCCAUGACACGGACCUCCGACGCUUUGUGAGGCACUCUCAAAGAGUCGAGUUGUUUGGGAAUGCAGCUCAAAAUGGGUGGUAAAUUCCAUCUAAAGCUAAAUAUUGGCGAGAGACCGAUAGCGAACAAGUACCGUGAGGGAAAGAUGAAAAGCACUUUGGAAAGAGAGUUAAAGAGUACGUGAAAUUGUUGAAAGGGAAACGCUUGAAGUCAGUCGCGUCCCGUGGAACUCAGCCUGGCUUCGGCCUGGUGUACUUUCCUUGGGACGGGUCAACAUCAAUUUCAGCCGGUGGAAAAGGGCGAGGGGAAUGUAGCGUCGUCUCGGCGGCGUGUUAUAGCCUCCUGUCGUAUGCACUGGCCGGGAUUGAGGACCGCAGCACGCCCUUGUGGCCGGGGUUUGCCCACGUAACGUGCUUAGGAUGUUGGCAUAAUGGCUUUAAGCGACCCGUCUUGAAACACGGACCAAGGAGUCUAACAUGCUUGCGAGUGUUCGGGUGAAAAACCCUUGCGCGUAAUGAAAGUGAAAGUUGGGAGCCUCCGCAAGGGGGUGCACCGACGCCCGGCCCUGACGUUCUCUGACGGUGCUGCGGUAGAGCAGGUAUGUUGGGACCCGAAAGAUGGUGAACUAUGCCUGAAUAGGGCGAAGCCAGAGGAAACUCUGGUGGAGGCUCGUAGCGAUUCUGACGUGCAAAUCGAUCGUCAAAUUUGGG